RNAcentral lists this ribosomal RNA (456 nucleotides) under Blastocystis sp. Its description in RNAcentral is "partial small subunit ribosomal RNA". It matches the Rfam family "Bacterial small subunit ribosomal RNA", at positions 764 to 1139 of the family's 1533-position model. The record is from RNAcentral. Lineage: Eukaryota; Bigyra; Opalinata; Blastocystidae.
GGUAGCAAACAGGAUUAGGUACCCUGGUAGUCCAUACUAUAAACAAUGAAUAUUAAAUAUUAAUAAAUUAUAUUUAUUUUUUAGAUUAUAUAUAAGUUUUUUGUAAUAUUUUUUUAUGAAAAAUUAUAUUAAUUUUUAAUGAAUAUUUUCAAUUAAUAUAAAAAGUUAACACGUUAAAUAUUUCGCCUGGGGAGUAAAACCGCAAGGUUGAAACUCAAAGGAAUUGACGGGAGCUUAUACGUACGGUGGAGCAUGUGGUUUAAUCCGAUAGUCCGCGUGGAAUCUUACCAAUUUUUGACAGUUUAUAAUUUUUUUUAUUAUAAAACAGGUGUUGCAUGGUCGUCGUCAGCUUUUAUUUUGAAGUUAAGAUAUAAGUUUAACCCUUGCUUUAAGUUGCUAUUAUUUAAAAGUAUUAAAGGUUAAUUUUUGUUAAUUUUUAAUUAUUAAAUAAGUACU